CUGGAGGCUGAGUAGUCCCAGGACCUAGCAUGUGCAAGCUGGAGAACCAGGAAAGCUGGGGCUGUAAUUCAGUCCCAGUCUAAAGGCCUGAGAAUCUGGGAAGCUGACAGUGUGGAGCAGGGAGGAUGAGGCUUUGCAGGCAGAUGGGGUCCCCUUCUCUCUGGUCCUUGGUCUCCACUUCUGUAAAGUGGUGAAUAUCAAACCUGACUUCCAAAGUUGCUGGGGAGACUCCAGAAAAUGUGUGUUAGGUACCUUGUGCAGUUCCUGGCAUCUAUCAGCGACUGAAUGACAGAUGAUCAUGAUGCUUCCUAUGGAAGGUACCUAGAGCCAGAGAAGAUGAAAUGAGAUGUCCCAACCCAAGCAGUCAGGGAUGAUGCAAAAAGGGGCAAACUGCUGCUUCCUCUGCCUUUGAUUCUGCUCAGGCCCUUCAGGGAUUGAAUGAUGCCCAACCACUUGGGGAGGGCAUCUCCUUUACUGAGUUCACUGGUUCAAAUGCCAAUCUCACCUGGAAACACCCUCACAGGCACACUCAGAAGGAAAUUUAAUCUUGGCACCCCAUGGCCAGUCAAGGUGACCCAGAGAAUUGACCAUCAUAGUUACUUUUAAGGCAAUUCUGACAUGAACUCAAUUCCAUCUUAUGGUUUUGUUCCAUGAACAAAACCCAGAGAGGUAAAUGUGGUUUGCAGGUGGUGGGAAAUCAAUGUCUCAGGUGCUCUUCACGCUGACUUGUGUAAUCCUUCCCGGGAGAACUGAAGACUCCCAGCAGGGAGCUAACAGGGUUUCUUCUCUUCUUAUCUCUGCUCUAGCCACUAUCAGUGUGCCGGGUCCCUCUGAGAGACAAAUGGGAAACUCAAAAGGGACCACGAAGCUUCAGGCCAGCCCUGUCCCGAAGUCUUGUGUGCUUCAUGUCGAGUGGUCUGCAGUGGACUGUGUCUGCUUGAAGCGAUGCUCCGGAGGGCUUAUUGUUGUGUGGGGUAAAGCAUGAGAUCACUGAAAAAUGAGAGAAAUCGAGCAUACGAAAUGUGAAGCAUAUCUGUUGACACCGUGCGCUCCCUUUGCUUGCACUGGAUGGUGCAUGGUUUCCAUGCGCAGUGCCUGAGGUGUGGGGCAGGCGAGGCCCAUGCAGCCUGGCUCCUUUCCAGAAGGUUGCUGUUCAUUACAGCUCGAGUGUGCUGGGUUCUGCAGAUAUUAUCUAUUUUAAAUUAACGCUCCGUAAAAGGAUUUAAAGUUUUCUGAAAAGAAACCAAUGAAUGAAGCUAAUAGUAAUAAUGCAAACACAAGCAAGCUGCCAAGUAAGCCAUUUUUCUAUUACGGAGCUCUUCAUCAGUCAUAUUAUUAAAGAAAAAACAACAAUACUAGUAAUAAUGAUCACCUAUUCAAGACCAAGAGUUUGAUCCUCCAAAAUUCAAACAAGGAAAAAUCUCUCCCAAUCUCUCCUUUCCUCCAUCCCUUUUCUUUACUUCUCAUCCCAUAUAUAAUAUUAUAUAAUGCAUACAUAAUAAAAGACAUUCACUAUUAUUAGCAAUGAUUCCUUAUCUGUAUAUUGUGCCUUAAGAUAUAUUAGCAAAUGGUAUGCAUAUUUAGAAGACUUAUUUUUAAAAAUAAUAUAUAUGUUGGGGUAAAGGGUCAACCCUUUAUUCAUUGACAAGUGAGGUUAUCAAAGAAGUCUGGACUCAUUUUUGCUCUUCCAAGUCUAAAUAUAAAUUUUGGUUUAUAAAGGAUUUCAUAUGGUUCCCAACAGCACAUUGUAAAAAUUCAACUCUCUGCCUUACUAGUUAUUGAAGUCAUCUUACAGAUGGCCACAAUAAGUCCCUUCUUAUUUAUUUUUGCCAAUAUAAUUUGUAGGGUAGAUGUAUGUAGUUUGCUUGAUUCUGACCGGAAAUCUGUUCUGUUUCCUGCUUGACUGAAAUUUGGGGCAAUGGAGGCAGCAGAAAUAUGCAAAUAUAAACCUGAGUUACACAAUGGGCUUUGGUUCAGUGGAUGAAUAUUAUUUAAUUUUCCAAUGUCAUUGUAAGAAAUUGAGAGAUGAACUUGAACUUUUAAAACUUUGUGGACAAAAUAUCAUCAAUAUUAAGGGAACAAGUUUCUUAAACUUUAGAAGGAAAUCAAUUCUAAUGUGUAGUUAACCAGAUUGUUCAUUGUUGGGUUUAUCAUUAACUUGGUCUUUACCUCAUUAACUUCCCUCUGUCUUAUUAUUUAUUAUGCUGCGUCUAUUUUCUCUGUAAUCAAGUGUAACUGUAGCAUUGGGGAGAGCAUUAGAUUUUCUAUAGAUUUGGGUGUUUCAUGUGCAGCAGACCACGUGCUAUUUUUGCCUGAGCAGCUCCUGUUCACCUUUGUUCUGGAAACAGAACUCUCCUUUAAUUUUGGAAACUUCCCCUCCUAUUACUGAUAGGGCUGUCAAUCGCAUGUCCCCCAAGCCUCCAUCAAUGUGAUGGUCAGGGACUUGUGUGGGCCACAGACUCAAACCUGAACUUCUGCCGAAGAUAUCAAGAAGGAGAAGCCCUCUAUUUACUGAAGUCUCUGACUGUAAUAACUGAGUGAAUUGAUAUCUUCCAGCAGCCACUGUAGCACCACAAAAGGAAGGCUUGUCCAGGAAUUAAACCAACACAAGGAAAGCCCAGACAAAGAGGGAAGGAUGGGCUCAUGAUGUUUGAACCUCUGAUCUGUCUAUGCCUUGAGCCAGCCACACUGCAGGAUGCUGUUGCUCCAGCAAUUAAAUGUCUUAUUUUUGUUUAGGCUAGUUUGUGUCAGUGUGUGUCACUUAUUACUAAAAUGUUCCUGAGUUAGACAACACUGUGGAGGGAAAAUCAUAUGAACUUAAUGAUUUGACCUAAAAAAUGGCAAUUUCUUAGGAUUCAAACCAAUAUAAUAAAAAAUGCAGGUGGUCAGAUGACUCAAGAACCAUUGCUUUGUGUUCUUGGCCUCUUUGAGCUUCAGUUUCCUCAUAUUGAAAGGAGAGAGAUAACUGUCUACCCACGCAUCGGUUCACACACAGAAACGGGAAAUGCAGGAUCAGGUAAAGCAUAGAAAAACCUUUGUAGACUAUCUGGCUCAAUAAAAUGUUACCUAUUGUUACACAUUGGAAGAUUUGAUUCCUUGAGAUAUAUUACAGUGUAUAGAGUGAGCUAACUGGUCAUGCUUAGGAAAAAUUUUGGAAUUGGUGCACAUGUGAGGCUGUGAGGACGUCAAAAUUUGACUGCAGAUGUUAUAAAGUCCUGUGUUUUGGCAGAUAAUCAUCUCCCCAUUUAGAAUUCACAGGACUCAUCUGGCAUCCGGUGGAGUUGGUAGGAGCUGAUUAAUGCCUGGCUUCUAGUGGAGAUGAUGAGAACUGGUCAAUGUAAGUUACGUUAGGAUGGCAUUGUGGACGUCAGAAACCCAAAAGAGGACAGAAACCCAAGCCUAAACAAAAAUAGGACAUUUAAUUGCUGGAGCAAC
This is a long non-coding RNA of Pan paniscus (pygmy chimpanzee), 3435 nucleotides long. Lineage: Eukaryota; Metazoa; Chordata; Mammalia; Primates; Hominidae. The record is from Ensembl.